Molecule: ribosomal RNA, 318 nt
Filed under: uncultured eukaryote
Lineage: Eukaryota
Description: partial 18S ribosomal RNA
Rfam family: Eukaryotic small subunit ribosomal RNA
Source: RNAcentral
CCCUUAGAUGUCCUGGGCCGCACGCGUGCUACACUGAUGCAUACAGCGAGUACUUUCCAGCUCCGCGAGGCAGCUGGUAAUCAGCAAUAUGCAUCGUGCUGGGGAUAGAUCUUUGGAAUUAUAGAUCCUGAACGAGGAAUUCCUAGUAAGCGCAAGUCAUUAGCUUGCGCUGAUUAAGUCCCUGCCCUUUGUACACACCGCCCGUCGCUCCUACCGAUUUCGAGUGAUUCGGUGAACCUUUUGGACAGCGUCUGUCCUCGUGUCAGAUGCUGAAAGUCAAGUAAACCAUAUCACUUAGAGGAAGGAGAAGUCGUAACA